GAUGAACGCUGGCGGCGUGCUUAACACAUGCAAGUCGAACGGAAAGGCCCAAGCUUGCUUGGGUACUCGAGUGGCGAACGGGUGAGUAACACGUGGGUGAUCUGCCCUGCACUUCGGGAUAAGCCUGGGAAACUGGGUCUAAUACCGGAUAGGACCACAUUUUGGAUGGUGUGGUGGAAAGUUUUUCGGUGUGGGAUGAGCUCGCGGCCUAUCAGCUUGUUGGUGGGGUAAUGGCCUACCAAGGCGUCGACGGGUAGCCGGCCUGAGAGGGGGUACGGCCACAUUGGGACUGAGAUACGGCCCAGACUCCUACGGGGAGCAGCAGGGGGGAAUAUUGCACAAUGGGCGGGAGCCUGAUGCAGCGACGCCGCGUGGGGGAUGACGGCCUUCGGGUUGUAAACUGCUUUCGCUAGGGACGAAGCGUUAUGUGACGGUACCUGGAGAAGAAGCACCGGCUAACUACGUG
RNAcentral lists this ribosomal RNA (466 nucleotides) under uncultured bacterium. RNAcentral describes it as "partial 16S ribosomal RNA". It matches the Rfam family "Bacterial small subunit ribosomal RNA", at positions 28 to 507 of the family's 1533-position model. The record is from RNAcentral.